Molecule: long non-coding RNA, 1056 nt
Filed under: Pogona vitticeps (central bearded dragon)
Lineage: Eukaryota; Metazoa; Chordata; Lepidosauria; Squamata; Agamidae
Description: lncRNA (ENSPVIG00000022284.1)
Source: RNAcentral
UGGUUGCAGUGAAGAACGGUAUUAUUUCCAGUAAGGAGGCUUCUGCUUAUCAGGUGGAAACCAAUGUGCCUUUAUCUGGGGGAAUCCUCCAGAGCAGGAGUGAGUAAGCUUAAACAGGGGAAGGAGCAUAUAUCACCAGCUUAUCUAGCUCAGCCACUUCCUUGAAGAGCAUUUGGCCAUUUCCCAUGCAGCCAAUCAUGUUGAACUGCACAGCAUAUGUUGUUGAUUACAAUUCGUCUUGUCAGAAGCCUCAGUAGCAAGGCAUGACUGUAUCACCCAUGCAGAAAAGGCUUCUCAAGGGAUACUGGGAAAGGCCCCCUGACAAUUUUGCUAUCCAGCCCUCUCUUCUCAUGCAAUGAGGAACUCACAAAGAAGCCUGCUGAAAUCCAACGUAAAUAUUUAAAAUAAAAGAAUGCAAGGCCCUGGAAGGAGUGGUCCUCUCUUGCGUUUUGGAUUUGACGUUUACAUCUUGGGACUCUUGAAUUAUGGUCGCUAUAAGAAGGACUUGAAUCUCUCUGUUAAAGUUAUGCAAAUACAGUAUAGUCUCAAUAUUUUUGGGAUUAUAUUCAGAGGCUUUUGGAUUAUGGUCAUAGAAUGCCCUCAGAAGAAGAGAAUGAUAAACCAUUUCUGAGUACUCUCAACCUAGAAAACCUUGGAAAGGGUCACCGUAAGUCAAAAUUGCCUUGAUGACAUGAAGUUCUUAUAUCUGAAAGGACGCUUAGAGCAUAUCCAGAUGGGUAUAUAACUCACUAUUUAGAUUAUUUUGGUGCUGUUUGGUUUGAAUCAAAUGACAGUGUCCACACGUGUUUUGACUUAGAGAGCCAUCCGUCUCACCCCCUUUUAGAGCUGCCCCAUUCCUUUUUGGCACAGCUCUCGGAGUGCUCCUGUUUAUCCCACUUCGUGAUUAGUUGACACCCAAAGAGAGCUGUGGGCAGUGAUAUCUAAGGUAAAAUCCCUGUGGUGUAUUUGAUGGAUUGCGGCAUAGAAAAGGAUUGCCAAGUACUCCCCUCAUCUAUUUUCAUCUACUCUACCAUUUGAAAUUAUAUUCCUAGUGGU